CAUCCGUCUGUAAUUCAUCGAUUGCUGCCGACACAAUCUAGAGAGAUCGGUGUCUUCAAAAAAGAAAAGAAACAAAAAAAACUAGAGAGAUCAGUGGUCGAGAAGAAGAACGACUGAGAGAGAGAGCGUGUGUUUGUUUGGUUUGUGCGGCGAAUAGAUAGACGGAUCGAAGUGAAAUUUUCAGCUUAGCAUCUGAGGAAAAUUUGAGGAGAUCUUUUUGGGAAGCUCUUGCGUAAAAAGAUUGUAUCUGAAUUGCAAAGCUCUGAUUUUUGGUGUGAGUGGAGGCUUUUAAUU
Rosa rugosa (rugosa rose) is the source of this 294-nucleotide long non-coding RNA. RefSeq lists it as uncharacterized. The transcript has 3 exons. The record is from RefSeq and is a predicted model, not a curated record. NCBI's taxonomy places the organism in Eukaryota, Viridiplantae, Streptophyta, Magnoliopsida, Rosales, Rosaceae.